GGAUUAGAUACCCUGGUAGUCCACGCAGUAAACGAUGAUAACUAGGAAUUUGCGAUAUGACAGUAAGUUCUACAGCGAAAGCGUUAAGUUAUCCACCUGGGGAGUACGCCGGCAACGGUGAAACUCAAAGGAAUUGACGGGGGCCCGCACAAGCGGAGGAACAUGUGGUUUAAUUCGAUGAUACGCGAGGAACCUUACCCGGGUUUGAACGUGGUUUGACCGCUCCAGAGAUGGAGUUUUCCGCAAGGACAGAUCACGAGGUGCUGCAUGGUUGUCGUCAGCUCGUGCCG
Molecule: ribosomal RNA, 290 nt
Filed under: uncultured bacterium
Lineage: Bacteria
Description: partial 16S ribosomal RNA
Rfam family: Bacterial small subunit ribosomal RNA
Source: RNAcentral